This 352-nucleotide unclassified non-coding RNA is filed under the name soil metagenome. Its description in RNAcentral is "partial contains 5.8S ribosomal RNA, internal transcribed spacer 2, and large subunit ribosomal RNA". The stretch from base 1 to 120 matches the Rfam family "5.8S ribosomal RNA", at positions 35 to 154 of the family's 154-position model. The record is from RNAcentral.
GAUGAAGAACGCAGUGAAAUGCGAUAAGUAAUGUGAAUUGCAGAAUUCAGUGAAUCAUCGAAUCUUUGAACGCACAUUGCGCCCGCCAGUAUUCUGGCGGGCAUGCCUGUUCGAGCGUCAUUACAACCCUCAGGCCCCCGGGCCUGGCGUUGGGGAUCGGCGGAGCCCCCCGUGGGCACACGCCGUCCCCCAAAUGCAGCGGCGGUCCCGCCGCAGCUUCCAUCGCGUAGUAGCUAACACCUCGCGACUGGAGAGCGGCGCGGCCACGCCGUAAAACACCCAACUCUUCUGAAGUUGACCUCGAAUCAGGUAGGAAUACCCGCUGAACUUAAGCAUAUCAAUAAGCGGAGGA